Suncus etruscus (white-toothed pygmy shrew) is the source of this 109-nucleotide small nuclear RNA. Lineage: Eukaryota; Metazoa; Chordata; Mammalia; Eulipotyphla; Soricidae. The record is from RefSeq and is a predicted model, not a curated record.
GUGCUCGCUUCAGCAGCACAUAUACUAAAAUUGGAAUGAUACAGAGAAGAUUAGCAUGGCCCCUGUGCAAAGUUUGGGUCUCAUGAUUUUAUUGUUGACUCUUGUGGUU